AUACGGAGGGUGCAAGCGUUACUCGGAAUCACUGGGCGUAAAGCGCGCGCAGGCGGCUAUUUAAGUUGGAUGUGAAAGCCUACGGCUCAACCGUAGAACUGCAUCCAAAACUAUUAAGCUAGAGUGUGGGAGAGGAAGAUGGAAUUAGUUGUGUAGGGGUAAAAUCCGUAGAGAUAACUAGGAAUACCAAAAGCGAAGGCAAUCUUCUGGAACACUACUGACGCUGAGGCGCGAAAGCGUGGGGAGCAAACGGGAUUAGAAACCCUAGUAGUCC
RNAcentral lists this ribosomal RNA (274 nucleotides) under uncultured bacterium. Its description in RNAcentral is "partial 16S ribosomal RNA". It matches the Rfam family "Bacterial small subunit ribosomal RNA", at positions 523 to 796 of the family's 1533-position model. The record is from RNAcentral.